Molecule: ribosomal RNA, 366 nt
Filed under: Triticum aestivum (bread wheat)
Lineage: Eukaryota; Viridiplantae; Streptophyta; Magnoliopsida; Poales; Poaceae
Description: partial small subunit ribosomal RNA
Source: RNAcentral
AUGGAGAUCAACCCCAACAAGUUCAUCGACAUUCGGCGCAAGUGGAGAGUUCCAUACACCGGAAAAGAGUACGACUCCUUGACUGAUGUUGCAGCCAGCGUCAUCCACCCAUUCUACACAGGCAUGAAGAACAAGAUUAACCCGAAGGAAGACUACAAACUGUGGGGGACCAGCGAGCUGCCAGACAACCUCAUCGAAAUCACCAUUGCCGCUUCCAUCUACACUGCACACAAACCAAAAACUUCUCUCUCCCAAAGCCCACAGUCGCCGGAGCAAGGCGAUGGCGGAGGAACCGUCCGCCAAACGUCACCAUGGCGACACAUCAAACAAGAGCAGCAACCUCGCCGACGUUCACGUCCCCGGUGA